UAUGUUUUGAAGCUGUCUGAUUUUUUUCUGUUUUCUCUUCUUCCCAAAUGCAGUUUGCUCAAAAAAGCCUGGAGUGGGAGGAGUGGUAAUGGUUCUUAGUGUGGAAUGGAAGUCCUAGGUAUAUCCUGAUGACUGACUAGUACUGCUAGGAAAGGAUCGAGGAAAGAAGGGAGUCUUUACCUGACAUGGAGCAAAUGGAAAUUAUUAUAAAAGGCUGGUAUAGCUUAAUGCUUCUAAUUUAAAGACCUAAUUUAGGUCACAUUGCAUUUCUAUUACUGAUGAGAAAUGCUGUUUCUUUGAAAGGAAAAAAUUCCCUAAUAUUUUGUGAUAUUGCACUAGUUUUGCUGCUUUGCAGCUAUGAUGUAAAUUGGCUUUCUUGCUAAGGAGUACAAUGUGAACAAACAGCUUUUGAAAACAGAACUGGAUCUGGAGCUGGGUGCUUCCUGAUUGAGAUUCCACACACACACACCCACACACCCUUUUCUAGUGUAAAAUCUGUGCAACUCUUUGCUUUCUAUUUAUGUAUUCAUUUGUGUUUAUAUAAAGGAUGAAGCUUAAUGAAGUCUAUGCAGUCACAGCAGGAUAAACCACUCUGAGAUCAGAUGUGGCCCUGUGCUGUGUGUGAGAGCAAGACCUUUGAGCUUCAAAAAUAGAUGUUGAGUCUUCAGCCUCAGAGGGAGAACAGGGUUACAGGUGAUCAAACCAUAACAGGAGAAUGGACUUGAGAAGAGCAAUACAGAGGUUUUUUGUGCAUGUGAAUAUGCAUUUGAAUCUACAGAAUGGACAGCAAAUCAGUCCACUUGCUACUGGUAUGUACAGGAUUAGAACAACUGCUUCGAUGGAAUUAAGUAUGCCUAAUUGUAUGUGUUUGAGAAUGUGAUGCUUUUUUUCUCAGCCUUGCCAGUUUAGAGAAAGACUAAAUUGAGAUACAUUUUUCAUAUCUUUCUUUUGAUCAUUUAUUGUGGUGUUGUCGUACUUCCUUUCCAGAUUAAAUAUAUGAACUAUGUCUGUUAAUAGUUCUUUCAGAGAGUACUGCCCUUGAGAUUUUAUUCUCCAAAAUAUGGUCUUUGAAUAUAUCAAAUAUGUCAAGAACACCUGAACACUUAGUACUAUGCAAAUAUUUUUAAACCUACAAACAUGAACUGAACACUAUUAUGCAAACUAGUGGAUUUUUUUUGUUGUUUUUAGUGCACAUAAUGCAGUUGGACCAUAGCCUUUGUGUAUCUCUAUGGAGCUAUGGAGAUGUUGUUUAAAAAUAUAUUCUUAAAAUAGGAUGUCUGAUUUUGAAUUAAAAGUCAGGACAAACUAAAUUAAUAACUUAAUCCCUCCAAGUAGUAGCAGUAAAAGUUGUAUCUUAAAGUAGGUACCAGCCUAGGUAUUUUGAACACUCUAACAAACCGGGAAGCCAAGAACAGAUAAGCAAAAAAGCUAACACCCAUACUUCUCUAUCAUUUCAUUAUGUGCAUGAGUGACUGUUAAAAGGCCUAGAUGGUAGAAUAAUGCCAUCUAUUUGUCAGUUCCCUUCAUCCCCUCCAAAAAUUGGUCAAACAAAUUUGAAAGAAGGUUGAAUUCUUAAAGAUAAUGACAUUCUUUCAAGAUUCAUGAUAAUCAAUGGAAAGAGAGCAGUGGCAGGAACAGCAGGCAGAGGUCAACCAUUAGCCAUUCAUUUGGCACCAGCCUCAGCAAGCACGCACUCCUCACUACUAGAGUUAAAACACAGGGACUGGAAUGAAGGUCAGGACUGUUGGUAAAGAAAGAUCAGAGAAAACUGUAGGAAACAAAGCCUCAAAAGUUUUGGUCUUUACAAGGCUACUUGAUGUUUUUCAGUUUAACUUUAACCAAUGUCCAUUUAAAAAUACUCUGCACCAAAAAAAUAAGGUCACAUGCAAACAGCAUACCCAUCUUUCCCCUCUUUACACAUCCCCUCUAUUCAGUCCAAGUUCUUGAGUUUUAAAGAUGCAGCAUUAUGAAGAAGAACUUUCUUCGUGGUUUUUCAUUUGCAUCUUUAUAUAAGAUAUUUGCACCUACAUCUACAGGAAGGAGCCAUCUCUUGUUCUGUCUGCAUUUCAAUCUGCUUGAAGAAUAAUGUGGUGUAGUCUGAAGGCUCUAUGCUCUAUUAUGUUUUAAGGUCUUCUGACAUCCUACCUGAUAUACCGAGAUGUAUAUCUACAAAAAAGUCUCUGCAGAUAAUUUUCACAUUGUUAAAGAGAGAAGCUUGAAUAAAGGCUGUGUCUUGGCUGGACAGAAUAAACAGUAGAGUCAGUAUUUAGGAAUCCACAGCCAGAUAGAGCCACUGUCCAGAAAAGAAACCGAACUGUAUCCAUGUACCUUACUGGCUUGGUGAACAGUCAUGGUUUUAACCUGUUUUUGAAAGCUUAGAUAAAGGGAAGUUCUUGAAUAUUUUAUAUUAUGGUCACAGGUGGUGAAGAGAAAUUAAGGAAGAGAUUAGUUAGGGAAGUGAAAUUUUAUGUGCCGUAAUAUGAAGAGAAAUGUAGUAACUCUUUCAUGGGUUUUUUUUUUUUUGUACAAAUCAGAAGCAUCAAUGAAGUUCUUUCAAGUUCUGUCUGAAUUCUUUAGAUUUGAGAAACAAUUAUUAUUGUAAAUAUUGCUUUGCUGUCCUCUUUGCUGUUUGAGUAGCUUUUCAUGGUUUGUUGCUCUUAUGUAUCAUAAACAUUGAUGUUAAUCACAAAGGAAGGGCAAUAAAGGUAAUUCACUGUAAUAGCGUAGAUAUGAGUGUGUCAACAUUUGCAGGUCUCUGAACCAGGUUUCUGAAUUUUCAGGUCUCUCCUGAGCCAGUGCUAUUUCUUUUCUACCCUGCUCAUCUUUUUUCUCUCACCUCAGUGUAAAAUUAACUUUUAAGGUGCGACUUUUCAUUUUACAGUUCAAGGAAAGAAAAAAAGCAGCUAGAGGCAGUGAAUGGUUAGCUAUGGUUAUGUAACAAUAACAUAACCAUGAAACUCAGUUCCUUUGUGUCGUUUGCUUAAUCCAGAAGCAAGAAUGCACAUGCAAUUAGGAAAAGGAGGCCAUGACAGUGAUGGCUAUCACCGCUAUGGCUAGUUAUAGAGGCUUCCAACUUAGAUUCACAUCAGUGAAUAGUAUUAUUUUAUGGUUAUGGACAAUACUGUUGGAUAAUGAUUUUUGAGGUGGGUAGUCAUAUUAAUUUAUUGAACACUUAAGGAAAAAUCAGAGGGAAACAUCAGUUGUGCAGGGUUUUUUUUGUGCUGAUGGUACAUUUCUAUUGAUGGAUCACAUUCCUGGGAAAAGGAGGUUUCAAGAUAAGUAGUGCAUUCUUUCAAAUUGAAAAAUAUGAAAUGUGGUAAGAGUUUCUGGGGACCUGACUGUGAAUAAUCAGUACUAGGAGUUUUGCCUGCCUGUAAGACCCAGAUUUGCUUCCUUGUAAGAGUCUAUUGGUCCUUAGGGCCUAAAAGAAGCAAAUGUUGACAGCAGUGCUUAAAUCAGUGUGGUGGUUUUUACUGCAGGCAUUUUUUUGCUUUGCAGAGGCAUAAUGGUCAUGCUGCUGCAUGGGGUUUUUUUCCUAUCAGACAUUAGAUUUUCCAGGUGAAUAGGACUUUAAGCACUCAACUGACAUGGCAUUCCUCCAAGAAAUUAUGUAAGCAAGUUGGAAUCUUCUUUGAACUAUUGCAAAAUACAUCCACUUCCUCAACAAAAAACUUGCUACCAGUAAACACCUUCAUGCUAUUGUUGCACAAACAGUAAUGGAUUAUGCUGUCAAGUUUAUGUCAUGUUGGUGGCAGAUGGCACAAAAUAAACAACCUGCUGUUUUGAUUUCUGUGUGCUUUGACUUUUUGUCCAGAUGAGCAAUAGGUGUAGCUUAUGUUUA
Non-coding RNA from Phalacrocorax carbo (great cormorant), 3841 nucleotides. NCBI's taxonomy places the organism in Eukaryota, Metazoa, Chordata, Aves, Suliformes, Phalacrocoracidae. The record is from RefSeq and is a predicted model, not a curated record.